RNAcentral lists this ribosomal RNA (440 nucleotides) under uncultured bacterium. Its description in RNAcentral is "partial 16S ribosomal RNA". It matches the Rfam family "Bacterial small subunit ribosomal RNA", at positions 338 to 795 of the family's 1533-position model. The record is from RNAcentral.
CCUACGGGAGGCAGCAGUGGGGAAUAUUGCACAAUGGGGGAAACCCUGAUGCAGCGACGCCGCGUGAGUGAAGAAGUGCUUCGUUAUGUAAAGCUCUAUCAGCAGGGAAGAACAUGACGGUACCUGAGUAAGAAGCCACGGCUAACUACGUGCCAGCAGCCGCGGUAAUCCGUAGGGGGCAAGCGUUAUCCGGAUUUACUGGGGGUAAAGGGAGCGUAGACGGCAGUGCAAGCCUGGCGUGAAAGGCGGGGGCUCAACCCCCGGACUGCUCUUGAAACUGUACGGCUGGAGUGCAGGAGGGGUAAGUGGAAGUCCUAGUGUAGCGGUGAAAUGCGUAGAUAUCAGGAGGAACACCAGUGGCGAAGGCGGCUUACUGGACUGUAACUGACGUUGAGGCUCGAAAGCGUGGGGAGCAAACAGGAUUAGAUACCCUUGUAGUC